This 1374-nucleotide long non-coding RNA is filed under the name Anser brachyrhynchus (Pink-footed goose). RNAcentral's name for it is "lncRNA (ENSABRG00000008075.1)". Lineage: Eukaryota; Metazoa; Chordata; Aves; Anseriformes; Anatidae. The record is from RNAcentral.
AUGUACCGCUAUGGUGAUUUUGUUCCUGUUGUUCAAAGCACAGCCAUAAGAUGCGCAAGGAAAAGCAAGUUGCUUGAACCAUGGGGUAGAAGUGUUUUGGGGAAGCAGCACCUCGCAGGAGGGCUAGGGCAGCUGCCACCAGCCCUGAGAGGGGUUCGCUCAGCUGUGCGGCCUGACCAGGUAAUGAAGCACUUUGGAGACAAGGAGUAUGUGCUCUGCAAGGCAAGAGAAAGAGCUGUUUUCCAGUGGCCUCCCAGGCCAGGAGUUGCACAGCUUUUGGACGCGUGCUGGCCUUGUGCAGCCCGCCAGGGAGAUGGGCUGCGCAAAGCCUCCUGAUGGUCUGGUGGAGAAGAACAGCUACAGGAGAGGAGCAGGCUUGGAAUGACUGCUGAUUGCGACAGGUGAAAGUCAUGAAUACAGAGGGACUCGGAGGAAAAUUGCCUUGCAAUCUGCCAUCCACCCUGGAAGCCAGGAGGGAGAUGGUGCUGUGCCAGCAUGCCCUCCGUGCGUACUACUUAAAGGCAGAGAGAAGCUGGACUCUCCCAAGGCUCAGUGCUGAGCUUUAGCACGUUUCAAAACCCAGCUCUUUAAGCAAACGAGCGAGCAUCCUGGAGGCAGCACCGGGUCCACAGCAGGGGCUGGGCAGCAGGAGACCAUCACCUGGCAGUCAGCAGGUUGAGGCAGCGCUGGAGAGAGCCGCUUGGCAAGGGCAGGUGGACCAGACAGCAGGGCAGUGGCACCAUGUGCUGCGCGGCUUGGCAUUAAUGAGACAUCUAUUGGAAUUCUGCAUGUUCCUUAAAGGCCUUCUGGGCGGAAAAUCGUUACGUUUACCCUGAUCCUUCACAAGUGAAAAACCAAACCGGGAUCUUCCCUGCUGGACUGAUUUGUGGGCUUCCUAGGAGGCCUUUGGAGCUGUGCAAGUCACGUUGCUUUCAGGAUGGAGGUGCUGAGAGAUAGACAGCUACUGCAAGCGAUGCCCAAACCGGAGAGCCUUGUGCACGGAGGGGGUAGGGUUCAUCAUGAAGGGCUGUUACUUGACUUGACAGUCAGGGCUGGAUUUUUCCAAGCACUCUCCCUCUAUGUGUGCACACUUAAAAGCACUGUCACUGCACAUGCAGGAGAGAGCUAAUGUGCCAGGGACAGAAGCACACAAUGGAGAGCACCUCUUAGAAAUUUGGCCCCCAAAACUAGGCUUUUAUUUUUAAGCAGCUUAAGUAUCCAGUGUGCUGAGCUCUUCCCAUAAGGCUGGUAGGAUUAGCAGUGAAGGGGUAGGCUGUGAGCCAUUCAGGCUGUGUUUAAACGUGCUUUUGCUUAGACCACCUGAAAGCUCUCGGAUUCCUUGGUGGCAGUAGCAUGCAGGCUGUGGAAGGAGGC